CCGCGUGUGUGAAGAAGGCCUUCGGGUUGUAAAGCACUUUCAGUCGUGAGGAAGGUAGUGUAGUUAAUAGCUGCAUUAUUUGACGUUAGCGACAGAAGAAGCACCGGCUAACUCCGUGCCAGCAGCCGCGGUAAUACGGAGGGUGCGAGCGUUAAUCGGAAUUACUGGGCGUAAAGCGCAUGCAGGUGGUUUGUUAAGUCAGAUGUGAAAGCCCGGGGCUCAACCUCGGAAUUGCAUUUGAAACUGGCAGACUAGAGUACUGUAGAGGGGGGUAGAAUUUCAGGUGUAGCGGUGAAAUGCGUAGAGAUCUGAAGGAAUACCGGUGGCGAAGGCGGCCCCCUGGACAGAUACUGACACUCAGAUGCGAAAGCGUGGGGAGCAAACAGGAUUAGAUACCCUGGUAGUCCACGCCGUAAACGAUGUCUACUUGGAGGUUGUGGCCUUGAGCCGUGGCUUUCGGAGCUAACGCGUUAAGUAGACCGCCUGGGGAGUACGGUCGCAAGAUUAAAACUCAAAUGAAUUGACGGGGGCCCGCACAAGCGGUGGAGCAUGUGGUUUAAUUCAAUGCAACGCGAAGAACCUUACCUACUCUUGACAUCCAGUGAACUUUCCAGAGAUGGAUUGGUGCCUUCGGGAACUCUGAGACAGG
RNAcentral lists this ribosomal RNA (649 nucleotides) under Vibrio rotiferianus. RNAcentral's name for it is "bacterial SSU rRNA". It matches the Rfam family "Bacterial small subunit ribosomal RNA", at positions 397 to 1038 of the family's 1533-position model. The record is from RNAcentral. Lineage: Bacteria; Pseudomonadati; Pseudomonadota; Gammaproteobacteria; Vibrionales; Vibrionaceae.